Molecule: ribosomal RNA, 387 nt
Filed under: uncultured bacterium
Lineage: Bacteria
Description: bacterial SSU rRNA
Rfam family: Bacterial small subunit ribosomal RNA
Source: RNAcentral
AUUGAACGCUGGCGGCAUGCUUUACACAUGCAAGUCGAACGGCAGCGCGGGGCAACCUGGCGGCGAGUGGCGAACGGGUGAGUAAUAUAUCGGAACGUACCCAGGAGUGGGGGAUAACGUAGCGAAAGUUACGCUAAUACCGCAUACGUCCUAAGGGAGAAAGUGGGGGAAUCGGCAAGACCUCAUGCUCAUGGAGCGGCCGAUAUCUGAUUAGCUAGUUGGUGAGGUAAAGGCUCACCAAGGCGACGAUCAGUAGCUGGUCUGAGAGGACGACCAGCCACACUGGGACUGAGACACGGCCCCAGACUCCUACGGAGGCAGCAGUGGGGAAUUUUGGGACAAUGGGGGCAACCCUGAUCCAGCAAUGCCGCGUGAGUGAAGAAGGCC